AUUGAACGCUGGCGGCAUGCCUUACACAUGCAAGUCGAACGGCAGCGGGCCUUCGGGUGCCGGCGAGUGGCGAACGGGUGAGUAAUGCAUCGGAACGUGCCAUUGAGUGGGGGAUAACGUAGCGAAAGUUACGCUAAUACCGCAUAUUCUGUGAGCAGGAAAGCAGGGGACCGCAAGGCCUUGCGCUCUUUGAGCGGCCGAUGUCAGAUUAGCUAGUUGGUGAGGUAAAGGCUUACCAAGGCGACGAUCUGUAGCGGGUCUGAGAGGAUGAUCCGCCACACUGGAACUGAGACACGGUCCAGACUCCUACGGGAGGCAGCAGUGGGGAAUUUUGGACAAUGGGGGCAACCCUGAUCCAGCCAUGCCGCGUGAGUGAAGAAGGCCU
Molecule: ribosomal RNA, 385 nt
Filed under: uncultured bacterium
Lineage: Bacteria
Description: bacterial SSU rRNA
Rfam family: Bacterial small subunit ribosomal RNA
Source: RNAcentral